RNAcentral lists this ribosomal RNA (280 nucleotides) under uncultured Burkholderiales bacterium. RNAcentral's name for it is "partial 16S ribosomal RNA". It matches the Rfam family "Bacterial small subunit ribosomal RNA", at positions 505 to 784 of the family's 1533-position model. The record is from RNAcentral. Lineage: Bacteria; Pseudomonadati; Pseudomonadota; Betaproteobacteria; Burkholderiales.
GUGCCAGCAGCCGCGGUAAUACGUAGGGUGCAAGCGUUAAUCGGAAUUACUGGGCGUAAAGCGUGCGCAGGCGGUUUUGUAAGUCUGUCGUGAAAGCCCCGGGCUUAACCUGGGAAUUGCGAUGGAGACUGCAAGGCUUGAAUCUGGCAGAGGGGGGUAGAAUUCCACGUGUAGCAGUGAAAUGCGUAGAGAUGUGGAGGAACACCGAUGGCGAAGGCAGCCCCCUGGGUCAAGAUUGACGCUCAUGCACGAAAGCGUGGGGAGCAAACAGGAUUAGAUA